RNAcentral lists this small nuclear RNA (80 nucleotides) under Cricetulus griseus (Chinese hamster). RNAcentral's name for it is "7SK RNA". It matches the Rfam family "7SK RNA", at positions 1 to 80 of the family's 331-position model. Rfam says of the family: 7SK was discovered as an abundant small nuclear RNA in the mid-70s but a possible function has only recently been suggested. Two independent studies have found that 7SK RNA binds the CDK9/cyclin T complex (known as elongation factor P-TEFb). P-TEFb activates transcription by phosphorylating the C-terminal domain of RNA polymerase II. The record is from Rfam by way of RNAcentral. Lineage: Eukaryota; Metazoa; Chordata; Mammalia; Rodentia; Cricetidae.
GGAGGUGAAGGCGAUCUGGCUGCCUGACCUGUCACCCCAUUGAUCGCCAGGGUUGAUUCGGCUGAUCUGGCUGGCUAGGC